ACUCCCCAGGCGGGGUACUUAUUGCGUUAACUCCGGCACAGAAGGGGUCGAUACCUCCUACACCUAGUACCCAUCGUUUACGGCCAGGAUUACCGGGGUAUCUAAUCCUGUUCACUCCCCUGGCUUUCGCGCCUCAGCGUCAGACACAGUCCAGAAAGUCGCCUUCGCCACUGGUGUUCCUCCUAAUAUCUACGCAUUUCACCGCUACACUAGGAAUUCCACUUUCCUCUCCUGCACUCAAGAAAUGUAGUUUCCAUCCCAUCACGGGGUUGAGCCCCGAACUUUUAAGACAGACUUACAUUCCCGCCUGCGCGCGCUUUACGCCCAAUAAUUCCGGACAACGCUUGCCACCUACGUAUUACCGCGGCUGCUGGCACGUAGUUAGCCGUGGCUUCCUCCUCAGGUACCGUCAUUACUUAACAUUAUUCACAUUAAGCACAUUCGUCCCUGAAGACAGAGCUUUACGAUCCGAAAACCUUCUUCACUCACGCGGCGUUGCUCCGUCAGACUUUCGU
RNAcentral lists this ribosomal RNA (515 nucleotides) under uncultured bacterium. RNAcentral's name for it is "partial 16S rRNA". The record is from RNAcentral.